GGCGGACGGGUGAGUAAUGUAUAGUUAACCUGCCCUCGAGAAAGGAAUAACAGUUGGAAACGACUGCUAAUGCCCUAUAUGCCUUUAAGACAUAAGUCUACAAGGGAAAUGCUUUUGUGCUCGAGGAUGGGACUGUAUGGUAUCAGAUAGUUGGUGAGGUAAUGGCUCACCAAGUCAAUGACGCCUAACUGGUUUGAGAGGAUGAUCAGUCACACUGGAACUGAGACACGGUCCAGACUCCUACGGGAGGCAGCAGUGGGGAAUAUUGCACAAUGGAGGAAACUCUGAUGCAGCAACGCCGCGUGGAGGAUGACACUUUUCGGAGCGUAAACUCCUUUUAUAUAGGAAGAUAAUGACGGUACUAUAUGAAUAAGCGCCGGCUAACUCCGUGCCAGCAGCCGCGGUAAUACGGAGGGCGCAAGCGUUACUCGGAAUCACUGGGCGUAAAGAGCGUGUAGGCGGGUUAAUAAGUCAGAAGUGAAAUCCUAUAGCUCAACUAUAGAACUGCUUUUGAAACUGUUAACCUAGAAUAUGGGAGAGGUAGAUGGAAUUUCUGGUGUAGGGGUAAAAUCCGUAGAGAUCAGAAGGAAUACCGAUUGCGAAGGCGAUCUACUGGAACAUUAUUGACGCUGAGACGCGAAAGCGUGGGGAGCUACAGGAUUAGAUACCCUGGUAGUCCAC
RNAcentral lists this ribosomal RNA (681 nucleotides) under uncultured bacterium. RNAcentral's name for it is "bacterial SSU rRNA". It matches the Rfam family "Bacterial small subunit ribosomal RNA", at positions 97 to 798 of the family's 1533-position model. The record is from RNAcentral.